GGGAGGCAGAGAAGACAGGAGAGAUGGAGGCUUGCAGGACCUGGUGGUUGGGGAGGGCCAGUGACCAGGUGUUUAGAAGCAGCACCUCCUGUGAUUGGGGCUGAGGGUGAACUCUGCUUUCAAGCAGAGGUGGUUUGUCGUGGGUCUUCCAUGAUGACACCAGGUCAAGAGCCUCCAGAUGCUCAGAGUCUUGCAGGCUCAGAACAAGAAUUGUCAACUUGCCAAGAUGAAUCUGUCUCUCGGGGGAGGACCCACACAGAACAAACGUUUGAAGCAGAAGUUUGCUUGGUAAACAUGGAAUCGGAACAUGGGAAUUGGGCCACUGGGAUAUUCAAUUGCGUCAGACCAUUGUAGCUGAUACUCCUGGACAGAGGGGCUUUGCCAACUGGACAGAUAUAUGAAGUGUUGCUGACCGAGCUCCUUGCUCUGUGUGGGAGGGAUCUUGCCAGCUCCAGCCUUGGUGGGUCUCCUUUUUCUGUUUCCAAGCUUAAAUAAGCACUUGGCUGUUCUGAUUAGCACUUUUAAAAGCUGUGUUAAUAAGUUCAAUUAAAAUAGAAGAAUCUCUCAUUCUGUCAUAUCGGGUUUU
RNAcentral lists this long non-coding RNA (586 nucleotides) under Homo sapiens (human). Its description in RNAcentral is "non-protein coding lnc-YWHAQ-2:1". Lineage: Eukaryota; Metazoa; Chordata; Mammalia; Primates; Hominidae. The record is from RNAcentral.